Molecule: long non-coding RNA, 504 nt
Organism: Carassius carassius (crucian carp)
Lineage: Eukaryota; Metazoa; Chordata; Actinopteri; Cypriniformes; Cyprinidae
Exons: 3
Source: RefSeq, a predicted model, not a curated record
UCUUACUGUUCCAUAUGCAGAGACAAUGGAAAGACCAAAAAAAAAAAAACUUCUGCAGUAAUGGAGCCAAAAGACUGAAUUUGCCAGCCAUACCACCAUUUGCACCAUCAGCACCUGCUGUGACAGUCCCUGAACCAAGACAAGAUGAAAGAGAACUCCGGCUCUACCAGAUGCUGGAAGAGCUAAAGGGUCAAGUCAGGCAGAAUACGCUCCUCCUUCAGGCCAUUAUGCGAAGAGAGAAUGCAGCUGAAGUUGUAAAUGAGGAGUUUCAGUUUCCAUUAAGGAGCAUGACAGGCAUAAAAGAUCUGGAGGAUAGGCUGUCAAACAGAGACACACAACGUUCUUUAACAAGAUAUCUUACCAGCUUGGGUGGAACAUCUGCCAAAGACAUUGUCCACAGAAUCAUGAGGGAAAUAAUAACCAAUGAGUUGGCCAACAAUUUUAAUUGGCAAGGGAGAGGACAGAAGAGCCCAUUUUCUACACUCUUGCUAGCAAAAGUUGUUA